This is a long non-coding RNA of Canis lupus familiaris (dog), 2838 nucleotides long. RefSeq lists it as uncharacterized. The record is from RefSeq and is a predicted model, not a curated record. The transcript is spliced from 10 exons. Lineage: Eukaryota; Metazoa; Chordata; Mammalia; Carnivora; Canidae.
GAGCAGAGCGCGCGCUCCCCUCAGCGGGGAGGGGACCCCGCCGUUCUCCCGGCGCCCGAGCGCCCGAGCGCCCCGCGCCGUCCGUCCGCCGGGGUUGGAGGAGUGGGGCUGCGAGGCCGUGUCUCGGAUCCGCAGCCUGGCAGAGUGUGCGUAAAACCCUUCCCCCGUCCGGAGGGGGCCCAGCCAGCCCGCGUCCCGCCAGCUCGGGGGGGAUCGGGGGCGGGUGUUGGUGGUUAGAGGAAACUUUCCAGCAGAGCGCCUUGCCGGAGCGAACCGCGCAUCUGCCGAGAUCGCUCCCUGGGCGCCCCUGCAAGCAGCUUCUGUUCCAGAGCGGUAGGAGCAGAAGGGAAGCGAAGGUUUGUGCGUCUGACCGCUAACGCUGAGGACCGGUGGGAAAAUCACACACCCCUCGGCCCCCCCAGCUAAUGAAUGUGAAGAAACAGAGGCUCAGAGGGAGUAAGAAGCUAACCCAAGGGCUCAAGGUGACACAGCAAAACUGGAACCUGAAACCAGAGAUUUGCCUGGGCAGCAGAGGCUGUUGGUGGAGGCUUGGCUCCAGCACAAGGAGGCAGCAAGUCGUAUUGCUGGAAAGUGCUCUGCCGAUUGACCUCAGCUUCACUGAAGGGUGUUCCUGGGAAAGAUGAAUGCCACUGGAAGCGGAAAUUCUUGGCAAUGAGAAAAAACCUUGCCUGAUGCAGACACAUGCCCCACCCAAGCGAUUCCCAGCUGCAAGGGAUUCAGCAAGUCUCUGGGUCCCGCUGCCCUCGAUCCAUCGAUCCAUCACAGGGGAGGCAGGUCUGGGGAGAGCCAGUCGGUUAGGGUCUAUCCCCUUCCUCUCCCCUGUGCCAGGGUUGCAUUCACAGCACCCACGCCCAGAGCCACCUUGUUGAUUUGAAUCAAGGGAGACCAGGCAGGUUCAGCAGACCUUGGCAUCUCAGCCUCUGCAAGUGAAGAAGCCUUGAAGCUGCGACCCGGGAAUCUGGGGGAGGCCUGGAGACCGCGUGCCCAAGAAGGGAUCCAAAGAGGGGGGCUGCGAAGCGGGGCCAUUGACAACAUCGGCAAAUCCCAAAGUAAUCUCCAGCUGCUUUGAUCUCCUAAGUACCCUGCUGCCCUGGACGCCCGCUGCCGUGGCCAGGUGGGAAGCGGGAAGACUCCUUGUCAGUGGGAGAGAGGAAGAAGAGGAAGAAGGAAGAGAGGAAGAAGAGCCCCGAGGACUGGCAGCCGGUACAACACAAGCUCAAGAGCAAGGACUGUGUGUGAAUUAUUCAUCACUGGACCUAGAGUACAACACAGAGAUGCUUAGUUACUUUGAAGCUCCAAUGAGGCAAAAUGCAUGAAGGCACUUUGAAGAUUUUAUAAAGCACCAUCAGAGUGUGUUACAGGGCACUGCUGUCUGCACUACAGUAAUAAAGAAACACGCUGAUAGAUAUAACAGCUUCAAGUGAUAAGCAAUCUCCAGGAAUCUGCAGUGAGAUUGCUGGUUGACUGGAAAUGCUCUCUAUUUCUCCAGAGGGUAUCUGUCCUUGAAGAAGCCAUUCGUUGCCUAGAAAAUGAAAAGGAUGACUGGUAAAGCUCCAGGUGGUGGCUGCUUCAUCAGCCUGGUGGCAGAAGAGCGCUUCCCAAAGAACCUAUGUGACCACUCACAUAGGCAAGAAGUGAACCUUGUCUGAUGCUCCUGAGAAUCUGAGCUGUUUGUACAGUACCAAAGCUCAGCACAUCCUGACUAGCACAGAGGCACUGCAAGAACGGAGACUGGAGAGGGAGUUCUGUGAACUCGUGUUGUUAACCCAAAGAAAGAUACUGUCGCUUACUUUUUCUUUGGUAGUCUGCCACAGUCCAGGAGCAGUGCCCAUAUCUGAUGAGUCCCUGCCAUGGCUAUCCAUAGAAUGUCAUCUCCUCCGACCUCUGAACCUUUAUAAAAUAAAAGCAUUUUGAAAGUUGUUAAGCUUAAGUGCACUCAAGAUUACUCCUUUUGCCAAGUACCUGGAGCGAAGCUAUUCUGAGCUGUAAGUGAAAUGUGGAGCCAUAUGUUCUUAAUGAUCUGUUGAGCUAAGGUAAGUCUCACUUCCUUUACUGAGAACUGAGCUUAAUAAAGACAUGAGUCUCAGCAUAUUACUCUAGUUGGAAGCUGAGAGAGUACUUUGUCUAUAGAGCCAAGAUUUCCUUAGAAAACAAUUUGGGUACGUUCUCAAUAGGAAAUAAACAACCAGAGAUUUCAUGCUACAAAGUAUGAAAAACUUUUAGCCUAGAAAAAAAAUAUUUAAGUAAAUCCGACUAAAUAAAGUAUCCAGUAAAGUACAUCCUAUUUUUAAGCAAUAUAAACUGAUUUAUGUGAUAGACUGAAUUACUAGUCUUACUUCUUCACUUCUCUGUUCUAUUAUACAUCCACACCCCUAUCAUGGCCUCAUUGUAGGCAAAGUGCAUAGCCCUGUCCCAUGACUUCGAGCUUAGUCAUGUGACACGCCUAAUACAAUAUAGGUAAGCAGAUCCCAGGUGAGCAAAGGCUUAAAAUGUGUGUAACUGGGCUUACUCUCUUGUAUUCCUGCCUUUUGCCAAAAGAAUAUGCCUCAGACAGCUACUGGUUCAAAGAAGUUGAGAAACAAAUGGGGCAGAUCUAGACCCAAACAACAUCUUGGAACCAGGCCCAGGCUUAGCCUUGAUCAGCUGAACCCCAAUCCUAUCUGAGAAAUAAAGGUUUAGGUUUGUAUGAGUGUUUUGGGAUGAUUUAUUAUGAAGUGUUACUGUGGCAAUUAUUAACAGAUACAGCAAACAGAAAUUGUAAUUUGCAAAAAUGUAAAUAUCUAUAGCUGAAUUGCUAUAUGCACUAUUAGCUUUAAA